AACCGACACAGGUGGUCAGGUAGAGAAUACUCAGGCGCUUGAGAGAACUCGGGUGAAGGAACUAGGCAAAAUGGUGCCGUAACUUCGGGAGAAGGCACGCUGGCGGUAGGUAAAGUCCCUCGCGGACGGCGCUGAAGCCAGUCGAAGAUACCAGCUGGCUGCAACUGUUUAUUAAAAACACAGCACUGUGCAAACACGAAAGUGGACGUAUACGGUGUGACGCCUGCCCGGUGCUGGAAGGUUAAUUGAUGGGGU
RNAcentral lists this ribosomal RNA (255 nucleotides) under Proteus mirabilis. Its description in RNAcentral is "partial 23S ribosomal RNA". It matches the Rfam family "Bacterial large subunit ribosomal RNA", at positions 1652 to 1890 of the family's 2925-position model. The record is from RNAcentral. Lineage: Bacteria; Pseudomonadati; Pseudomonadota; Gammaproteobacteria; Enterobacterales; Morganellaceae.